Molecule: non-coding RNA, 383 nt
Organism: Zootermopsis nevadensis
Lineage: Eukaryota; Metazoa; Arthropoda; Insecta; Blattodea; Termopsidae
Source: RefSeq, a predicted model, not a curated record
UUACCUCUUAUCCAUUCUUGUCCUAUUCAUACCUUCCAUUCUUGUGCUUCUUCUUCUGCUUCUCAUUUACCUCUCAUUUCUCUAUCUUCAUAUUCUCCCUCUUUUCCGUCUUUCUUUUAUUUUGGCAGUUCCAGUGUGUGAUGGAUGAAAUGGCCUGGGAGCUGAAGGAAGUCAGUUCCAAAAUCUGUUGUACAACUUGACGCAGACUCUGCUACCACUAGAAUUGUUCUGAUAGAACCAACAGCUUAACUGGGGAUCCAAACAACUGUGAUGGCAUGGUAGACUUUGUGUACAGUCUUUGUCAGAGGAAUACUCCAUGGAAUUCUCUGCAGAGAAAGUCUGUUGGUUGCUACAUCAAUGGGAUUCCUGCCUGAGUGCCCAUG